RNAcentral lists this transfer RNA (73 nucleotides) under Camelus bactrianus (Bactrian camel). It matches the Rfam family "tRNA". Rfam says of the family: Transfer RNA (tRNA) molecules are approximately 80 nucleotides in length. Their secondary structure includes four short double-helical elements and three loops (D, anti-codon, and T loops). Further hydrogen bonds mediate the characteristic L-shaped molecular structure. tRNAs have two regions of fundamental functional importance: the anti-codon, which is responsible for specific mRNA codon recognition, and the 3' end, to which the tRNAs corresponding amino acid is attached (by aminoacyl-tRNA synthetases). tRNAs cope with the degeneracy of the genetic code in two manners: having more than one tRNA (with a specific anti-codon) for a particular amino acid; and 'wobble' base-pairing, i.e. permitting non-standard base-pairing at the 3rd anti-codon position. RNAcentral also lists the same sequence under 1 other name. The record is from Rfam by way of RNAcentral. Lineage: Eukaryota; Metazoa; Chordata; Mammalia; Artiodactyla; Camelidae.
AGAGGAUAGCUUAAUGUGGUAGAGUGUGUGCUUAGUAUGCACAAGGUCCUGGGUUCAAUCCUCAGUACCUCCU